UGUUACAGUGUAUCUGUGCUGUGUUACAGUGUAUCUGUGCUGUGUUACAGUGUAUCUGUUGUGUGUUACAGUGUAUCUGUGCUGUGUUACAGUGUAUCUGUUGUGUGUUACAGUGUAUCUGUUAUGUUGUAUCUGUGCUGUGUUACAGUGUAUCUGUGCUGUGUUACAGUGUAUCUGUGCUGUGUUACAGUGUAUCUGUGCUGUGUUACAGUGUAUCUGUGCUGUGUUACAGUGUAUCUGUUGUGUGUUACAGUGUAUCUGUGCUGUGUUACAGUGUAUCUGUGGUGUGUUACAGUGUAUCUGUGCUGUGUUACAGUGUAUCUGUGCUGUGUUACAGUGUAUCUGUGCUGUGUUACAGUGUAUCUGUGCUGUGUUACAGUGUAUCUGUGUCUGAAACACCGAGACCCCUUUGAGAAGCAUCGUGUGUUACGAGAACGACCCUUCAAUAUCCACGCCACAGAUUCCUUCUACAGUGUAUAUCUGUCCUCAAUGAAGCGUUUUGAUACUGUCAUUAAGAGUAUGAAGAAGUAGACAUUUAUUUUAGCUAAAGAAAAGAAAAAAGAUCUGUUUUUGUUACAUAAAUCAGUAAAUCUUUUUUACCUGGAGAA
Molecule: long non-coding RNA, 608 nt
Organism: Oncorhynchus tshawytscha (Chinook salmon)
Lineage: Eukaryota; Metazoa; Chordata; Actinopteri; Salmoniformes; Salmonidae
Source: Ensembl